UACGGAGGGGGCUAGCGUUGUUCGGAAUUACUGAGCGUAAAGCGCACGUAGGCGGCUUUGUAAGUUAGAGGUGAAAGCCCGGGGCUCAACUCCGGAAUUGCCUUUAAGACUGCAUCGCUAGAAUUGUGGAGAGGUAAGUGGAAUUCCGAGUGUAGAGGUGAAAUUCGUAGAUAUUCGGAAGAACACCAGUGGCGAAGGCGACUUACUGGACACAUAUUGACGCUGAGGUGCGAAAGCGUGGGGAGCAAACAGG
This 253-nucleotide ribosomal RNA is filed under the name uncultured bacterium. RNAcentral's name for it is "partial 16S ribosomal RNA". It matches the Rfam family "Bacterial small subunit ribosomal RNA", at positions 524 to 776 of the family's 1533-position model. The record is from RNAcentral.